Molecule: ribosomal RNA, 491 nt
Filed under: uncultured bacterium
Lineage: Bacteria
Description: partial 16S ribosomal RNA
Rfam family: Bacterial small subunit ribosomal RNA
Source: RNAcentral
GUGAACGCUGGCGGUAGGCCUAACACAUGCAAGUCGAACGGCAGCACAGUAAGAGCUUGCUCUUACGGGUGGCGAGUGGCGGACGGGUGAGGAAUACAUCGGAAUCUACUUUUUCGUGGGGGAUAACGUAGGGAAACUUACGCUAAUACCGCAUACGACCUACGGGUGAAAGCAGGGGAUCUUCGGACCUUGCGCGAUUGAAUGAGCCGAUGUCGGAUUAGCUAGUUGGCGGGGUAAAGGCCCACCAAGGCGACGAUCCGUAGCUGGUCUGAGAGGAUGAUCAGCCACACUGGAACUGAGACACGGUCCAGACUCCUACGGGAGGCAGCAGUGGGGAAUAUUGGACAAAGGGCGCAAUCCUGAUCCAGCCAUACCGCGUGGGUGAAGAAGGCCUUCGGGUUGUAAAGCCCUUUUGUUGGGAAAGAAAAGCAGCAGGUUAAUACCCCGCUGUUCUGACGGUACCCAAAGAAUAAGCACCGGCUAACUUCGUG